GCGGGCGUGGCGGAAUUGGUAGACGCGCCAGAUUUAGGAUCUGGUGGAGAAAUCCGUGGGGGUUCAAGUCCCUCCGCCCGCACCA
RNAcentral lists this transfer RNA (85 nucleotides) under Rhodospirillaceae bacterium. Its description in RNAcentral is "tRNA-Leu". It matches the Rfam family "tRNA". Rfam says of the family: Transfer RNA (tRNA) molecules are approximately 80 nucleotides in length. Their secondary structure includes four short double-helical elements and three loops (D, anti-codon, and T loops). Lineage: Bacteria; Pseudomonadati; Pseudomonadota; Alphaproteobacteria; Rhodospirillales; Rhodospirillaceae. The record is from RNAcentral.